This is a non-coding RNA of Pelobates cultripes (western spadefoot toad), 313 nucleotides long. The record is from the annotation of a GenBank genome assembly. NCBI's taxonomy places the organism in Eukaryota, Metazoa, Chordata, Amphibia, Anura, Pelobatidae.
GCCAUCUUGGAUUUUUCCUUACCUGUUCCCUCGUGGUCUCCUGGUCUGGGCUCCCCUGGCUCUCCUUACCGUCGCCGGCGUCCGCACAGCUCGCUCGUUACUUUUUCUUCACGGAAACUGUAAGUCAGGCUCGCCGUAAAGCAACCGCUGCAAUUUCCCUGCUUUACACGGCGUAGCCCCGUUCGGUUCAAAUCUACGUUCGGUUCGGUUUUAUUGUAUCACCAAAACUAUGUGCCCAAAUAAAGCAUUCCCAAAAACGUAUCACACAUGUGUGAACGUCACUUUAUUGACAUCAAUUUUACAGCCACAUCCU